UAGACAUAGAACGACCCAACAUGAUAUAAAAACUUAUACAUGUGACAUACGGGCCUAUAAGGCCGACAUGAUCAUUGGUAUGCUCAAACAUAGGCCGAUAAGGCCAUACAAGUAUCCAUAUAUGUUACAUCUAUCUACAAGCCUCUAACAGUACAUAAACGUCAUAAAGGUCGGGACAGGGCCCCGCCAUACCAAUCAAUACAUAUUCAAAGUAUACCAAAUAGGCAACUCUGGAACAAGUGGAGUUCACAAACUCCUUCCGCUGAGCUGAUAGCCUACUAGGAGAACUCUCAACCUGUCUAUCGGGACCUGCGGGCAUAAAACGCAGCGUCACCAGGCAAAAGAGACGUCAGUACAAAUAAAGUGCUGAGUAUGUAAGGCAUGAAAGAAAUAUGGAGUAAGGAACUCAACUUGUAAGUCUGAAUAGCUAUGUGAAUCAUGAAAAAUUUAUAAUGUCUUGCAUGUGCGUAUAAAUGUCAUACCAUGCAUAAGUAUAUGCGCACAUAACAUCAUCAAGCCUCUGAGGGCAUCCUAUCAUAUCAUCUCAUCCACUGUAGGCGAAAUCAUCAACGUAUACCAGCUGAUCAGGUGGUGGUGCGUAUAUAACGCCAUAACCUUUUCCAUAUCCCAUAUACAUAUAAUAUAUGCGUAUAUAAUGCUAUCUGGUCAUGAGUCAAUGUACAUGUAUAAAUGAAUGCAAUGCAUAAGGAAGUAAAUCUAUAAGAUCUCUUGGAAUAUCAUAAGACCCAUGAAUAGAAGAUAUGAUAGUAGGACAUAUGGGGAAUCAAGAACAUAGGCAACCCUAGUACUUCUAGGAAUAGAAUUAUUUGUGAAAGUUGCGUACUUGCUCAUUUCUUGCAUCAUAUGGAUCAUGCCAAAAGGAAAGAAGGGUUAACCUUAACAUACAUUAUCACAAUAUUUUCAAUCACCAAGUUGAACUCGCCUCUUUAUACCUUAAUCUAAAACAACAAUAAUAAUACUAUCAUUAAGUUACGUAAGGUACAACUAUCGCACAACGAACGACAAGCUUAUUUUGUAUUGAAACGGGCAGCAUCUCCCCUAUAAUCCUUACUUCCUUCAAAUUCAAGAUAACACCAAAUACAACAAUAUCAACAUGUAUACAUUAUUUUAUAACCUUAUAUACACCACAAAAUACUACAAAACAGCCCAACACACCCAAUCUUUUCAUAUACAAAAUGACCACCGUAGCAGUGUCAAACGGCCCGAAAAUGUUACGGCAAACGACCGGCCCACCACCCUGCAUUUAUGUUGUGUUUAUCCACAACCUUACUCCUCCAAAACUCCACAAAACAGUAGUAAAACACGCAGCCCAAUAGCAACACAAAACAAUCCACAAAAUAGUCCGCUACAAGUGAAUAACUCGAACUCACGGCUUCCGAUCACCGUCCCAUGAGUUCUAACUAUUAGAAAACGAAUUUAUAAAUCUUUCUUGAUAUUUAAAUACUUAAAUACAGAAAUUACACAUUUUCUUAACUAUUAAGUACUUUCCAAAACUCAAACUAUAAAGAAAAAGAGAGGCGAUAUAGCGAUACUUACGUCGUAGGGAUCGUUUUAAUGUUAUCGCAUCUUGAUUCCGUGCCCGGGAUGAUAAUCUUGUUUAAAGCUCUGUAGAGAGCUUAAGAGUAAACUUAGGGGUCUUAUUUGGUUGUGUGUUCU
Molecule: long non-coding RNA, 1677 nt
Filed under: Nicotiana tabacum (common tobacco)
Lineage: Eukaryota; Viridiplantae; Streptophyta; Magnoliopsida; Solanales; Solanaceae
Description: long non-coding RNA (NTAB_LNC018634)
Source: RNAcentral